RNAcentral lists this ribosomal RNA (253 nucleotides) under uncultured bacterium. Its description in RNAcentral is "partial 16S ribosomal RNA". It matches the Rfam family "Bacterial small subunit ribosomal RNA", at positions 524 to 776 of the family's 1533-position model. The record is from RNAcentral.
UACGGGGGGGGCAAGCGUUGUUCGGAAUUACUGGGCGUAAAGGGCUCGUAGGCGGCCAACUAAGUCAGACGUGAAAUCCCUCGGCUUAACCGGGGAACUGCGUCUGAUACUGGAUGGCUUGAGUGUGGGAGAGGGAUGCGGAAUUCCAGGUGUAGCGGUGAAAUGCGUAGAUAUCUGGAGGAACACCGGUGGCGAAGGCGGCAUCCUGGACCAACACUGACGCUGAGGAGCGAAAGCCAGGGGAGCAAACAGG